Molecule: long non-coding RNA, 949 nt
Filed under: Jatropha curcas
Lineage: Eukaryota; Viridiplantae; Streptophyta; Magnoliopsida; Malpighiales; Euphorbiaceae
Description: long non-coding RNA (JCUR_LNC000789)
Source: RNAcentral
UAUCGUAUCAUCCAAUCAAAAAGGAGGGGGGAGUAAUAUUGAUGGGUCCCACGCCUACAACUAAAGCUAGUUAACAUUGGACAUGGUUAGUAGACACGGUGCGUAUCAAUACUUUGUUAUCUUUUCUCUUUCUUCAUCCUCAAUCCAACAACAGGACCUGCAGAGAGUUGAAAAUAAUUCCAAACACUAAAAAUAUCAUAUCUAUCAUCUCAAGGAAUCGAACUUUUUUGAAAUGAUUAGUUAACAACCAACAAUUAAGAAAAAAAAACCUGAAAAAUCAUAAAUAUAAAAACUCAGAAGUCAUUGUCAUUGAAUAAACGAUUAAAACAAACCAAAUUUCACGAAAAUCCCAAAACAAAUACUCCAAAAUCUCUAAUUGUCUAACAAAAAAUGAGAAAAAGAUUCUAACUUAAGGAGGAGAUCCUCCACAAGUAGAUUAACCCUCCAAUGCAAAACCCAUAAAAUCUCACACAGAAAAGAAUGAAAAAACUCACUCACCUGCAAUAAUUUUUCAAAAUAGAAUAAAUUGAUAAUAUUAUCCAUGCGAUUUCCAGUAAAAGGUAAAGGCAAAUGUCAAAACCUAUAAAUUUAAUCUCAUAUGAACCGUCACAAAAACAAAAUAGUUAAAAACGAAAAACAACUCUUUGAUUUUGGCACCAGAAAACACUUGAUUUAUUCAUUGUUGAAAUGAUUGAAGCUUCGACUCAUCUCAGCAGUGGAUCCCAUCUCAAUUCUCAGACCUUUGCUUCAAAGAAUUAAACUAGCGGAAACGGUAGACUAUACUCAAAUCAAAGAGAACCCUAAAUUACUUGAAGUUUACAUGACCCAAACAAUUUCGGAAAAGAAAGAGAGACCAAAAGAGAGAGAUGAGAGAGUUGCAUUGAUCUAACAGUGGUUCUAUGAUAGAGAGAGAGUGGGAAGGGAGAUCGACGAGGAAGAAAAGAGAGAG